AGAGUUUGAUCAUGGCUCAGAUUGAACGCUGGCGGCAGGCCUAACACAUGCAAGUCGAGCGGAAACGAGUUAUCUGAACCUUCGGGGAACGAUAACGGCGUCGAGCGGCGGACGGGUGAGUAAUGCCUAGGAAAUUGCCCUGAUGUGGGGGAUAACCAUUGGAAACGAUGGCUAAUACCGCAUGAUGCCUACGGGCCAAAGAGGGGGACCUUCGGGCCUCUCGCGUCAGGAUAUGCCUAGGUGGGAUUAGCUAGUUGGUGAGGUAAGGGCUCACCAAGGCGACGAUCCCUAGCUGGUCUGAGAGGAUGAUCAGCCACACUGGAACUGAGACACGGUCCAGACUCCUACGGGAGGCAGCAGUGGGGAAUAUUGCACAAUGGGCGCAAGCCUGAUGCAGCCAUGCCGCGUGUAUGAAGAAGGCCUUCGGGUUGUAAAGUACUUUCAGUCGUGAGGAAGGUUCAUGCGUUAAUAGCGUAUGGAUUUGACGUUAGCGACAGAAGAAGCACCGGCUAACUCCGUGCCAGCAGCCGCGGUAAUACGGAGGGUGCGAGCGUUAAUCGGAAUUACUGGGCGUAAAGCGCAUGCAGGUGGUUUGUUAAGUCAGAUGUGAAAGCCCGGGGCUCAACCCCGGAAUAGCAUUUGAAACUGGCAGACUAGAGUACUGUAGAGGGGGGUAGAAUUUCAGGUGUAGCGGUGAAAUGCGUAGAGAUCUGAAGGAAUACCGGUGGCGAAGGCGGCCCCCUGGACAGAUACUGACACUCAGAUGCGAAAGCGUGGG
This 778-nucleotide ribosomal RNA is filed under the name uncultured bacterium. RNAcentral describes it as "bacterial SSU rRNA". It matches the Rfam family "Bacterial small subunit ribosomal RNA", at positions 8 to 765 of the family's 1533-position model. The record is from RNAcentral.